This 506-nucleotide ribosomal RNA is filed under the name uncultured bacterium. RNAcentral's name for it is "partial 16S ribosomal RNA". It matches the Rfam family "Bacterial small subunit ribosomal RNA", at positions 28 to 523 of the family's 1533-position model. The record is from RNAcentral.
GAUGAACGCUAGCUACAGGCUUAACACAUGCAAGUCGAGGGGUAACGAGAGGAAAGCUUGCUUUCCUUGUCGACGACCGGCGCACGGGUGAGUAACGCGUAUCCAACCUGCCCCCAACUAGGGAAUAACCUUGCGAAAGUAAGACUAAUACCCUAUAAUUUCCUCAGAUGUCAUCUGACGAGGAAUAAAGAUUUAUCGGUUGUGGAUGGGGAUGCGUCUGAUUAGCUUGUUGGCGGGGUAACGGCCCACCAAGGCAACGAUCAGUAGGGGUUCUGAGAGGAAGGUCCCCCACACUGGAACUGAGACACGGUCCAAACUCCUACGGGAGGCAGCAGUGAGGAAUAUUGGUCAAUGGGCGGAAGCCUGAACCAGACAAGUAGCGUGCAGGAUGACGGCCCUAUGGGUUGUAAACUGCUUUUAUACAGGAAUAAAGUUAGCCACGUGUGGUUAUUUGUAGGUACUGUAUGAAUAAGGACCGGCUAAUUCCGUGCCAGCAGCCGCCGUAA